RNA transcript from Nomascus leucogenys (northern white-cheeked gibbon), 5148 nucleotides. It is a transcript of the gene named zinc finger protein 343, with no coding region annotated. The transcript has 7 exons. NCBI's taxonomy places the organism in Eukaryota, Metazoa, Chordata, Mammalia, Primates, Hylobatidae. The record is from RefSeq and is a predicted model, not a curated record.
UUUUUUUUUGCAGAACGGGCCGAGGGGACAGAGACUUCACUCGGUAGCCAGAACCUGUUUUCAGCAUGAGUAUUUUAAGCAGAGACGGAGAGGCUGUCACUGCAGUAGCCGCUGUCCUGGAAAAGUAACCAUUGCACGGCCCAGAAGCGGCUCUGUGGCGGCCAAUGGGAGCCGAAGCCUGCGAGGAUGUUGGGAACUGUAGUUCUGGCGUCGGUCGGCGGCCGAGGUCCUGGGCCCACUGGCUCUGGUCCACCUUCUCCAAUCCCUGCCUGCUGGGAGAGGACGAUCUCUUGAGAAAGGAAAGAUUUCUGUGCUCCUGAGAACCUCCUCUCAGGUCCUGGCUGCAUGGAAACAAGAUGGGCUUCUUACAAUUAAGGUUGGAAGAAGUCACCACAGGCAGCAGAACUCCAUCUUGAGAUGAAAUAACAUCUACCUGGACCUCUGGCAGAAUUUCAAGGCACACACUGGGCUGACUCUGGGGCCAUGAUGGUGCCUUAUCCUUUAGCACUGGGAGAUCAAUACUGGGAAGAGAUUUUGCUUUCAAAGAAUGGGGAAAAUGUAGAGACCAUGAAGAAAUUGACCCAAAAUCAUAAAGCGAAAGGCUUGCCUUCUAAUGAUACUGACUGGUCCCAGAAAAAGGAGACAAAAGCCCAAAUAGUGGUACCAGUUACAUUCAGGGAUGUGACUGUGAUCUUCACAGAAGCAGAAUGGAAGAGACUGAGUCCAGAGCAGAGGAAUCUAUACAAAGAAGUGAUGCUGGAGAAUUACAGGAAUAUUCUCUCAUUGGCAGAACCAGAGCCAGAAAUCUACACUUGUUCCUCCUGCCUUCUGGCCUUCUCCUGUCAGCAGUUCCUCAGUCAACAUGUACUUCAGAUCUUCCUGGGCUUAUGUGCAGAAAAUCACUUCCAUCCAGGGAAUUCUAGCCCAGGGCAUUGGAAACAGCAGGGGCAGCAGUAUUCCCAUCCAAGCUGUUGGUAUGAAAAUGCAGAAGGUCAGGAGAGAGCAGGUGGCUCCAAACCCUGGUCUGCAAGGACAGAGGAGAGAGAAACCUCAAGGGCAUUCCCCAGCCCACUCCAAAGACAGUCAGCAAGUCCUAGAAAAGGCAACAUGGUGGUAGAAAUAGAGCCCAGCUCAGCCCAAAGACCAAACCCUGUGCAGCUAGACAAAGGCUUGAAGGAAUUAGAAACCUUGAGAUUUGGAGCAAUCAACUGUAGAGAGUGUGAACCGGACCAUAACCUGGAAUCAAACUUUAUUACAAACCCAAGGAUCCUCUUAGGGAAGAAGCCCUACAUUUGCAGUGAUUGUGGGCGAAGCUUUAAAGAUAGAUCAACCCUCAUCAGACACCAUCGUACACACUCGAUGGAGAAGCCUUAUGUGUGCAGUGAGUGCGGGCGAGGUUUUAGCCAGAAGUCCAACCUCAGCAGACACCAGAGAACACAUUCAGAAGAGAAGCCUUAUUUGUGCAGGGAGUGUGGGCAAAGCUUUAGAAACAAGUCCAUCCUCAAUAGACAUCAGUGGACUCACUCAGAGGAGAAGCCCUAUGUUUGCAGUGAGUGUGGGCGAGGCUUUAGCGAGAAGUCAUCCUUCAUCAGACACCAGAGGACACACUCCGGUGAGAAACCCUAUGUGUGCCUGGAGUGUGGACGAGGCUUUUGUGAUAAGUCAACCCUCAGAAAACACCAGAGGAUACACUCAGGGGAGAAGCCUUAUGUUUGCAGGGAGUGUGGGCGAGGCUUUAGCCAGAACUCAGAUCUCAUCAAACACCAGAGGACACACUUGGAUGAGAAGCCUUAUGUUUGCAGGGAGUGUGGGCGAGGCUUUUGCGACAAGUCAACCCUCAUCAUACACGAGCGGACGCACUCUGGAGAGAAGCCUUAUGUGUGUGGUGAGUGUGGCCGAGGCUUUAGUCGGAAAUCACUCCUCCUUGUCCACCAGAGGACACACUCAGGGGAGAAGCAUUAUGUCUGCAGGGAGUGUAGGCGAGGUUUUAGCCAGAAGUCAAAUCUCAUCAGACACCAGAGGACACACUCAAAUGAGAAGCCUUAUAUUUGCAGGGAAUGUGGGCGAGGCUUUUGUGACAAGUCAUCCCUCAUUGUACAUGAGAGGACACACUCAGGAGAGAAGCCUUACGUGUGCAGUGAGUGUGGCCGAGGCUUUAGCCGGAAAUCACUCCUCCUUGUCCACAAGAGGACACACUCAGGGGAGAAGCAUUAUGUUUGUAGGGAGUGUGGGCGAGGCUUUAGUCAUAAGUCAAAUCUCAUCAGACACCAGAGGACACACUGAUGGGAGAAACCUGUGUAUGCAGGGGUCAUGAACAAGACCUGAGUGACCAGUCAAGCCUCAUGUUACCCCAGAGAGACACACGGGGAGGAGACCCUGUGUAUGCAGAUUGUGAGUGAAGUUCCAGAGAUGUGUCAACCGUUAUCAGGCAUGGGAGGGACACGUUCAGGAGAGGAGCCUUAUGAGUAUAGAGUAUGGGCAACCGUAGCCAUCAGUCAGCCUUCAGCAUGCACAAAAGAACACACUUAGGAGAGAAGUUUAUGUGUAGGGACUGUGGGAAGGCUUUAGCAAUAAUCAACAUUUACCAAACAUCCAAUGAUAGCCUCAUGGGAAAGCACCCUUGUCUGGGGAGUGUUGGUGAGCAUCAGUAAAAGAAUGGACAGUCAGGCACAAAGUGGCCCUCAGGAAGGAGGUCUUUGUUUGCAGGAUGUAUGGGCAAAGCUUUUGUGAUCACAUACCACAGGGAGAAUCUGCAUGUGGGGACACUGUGGACUUCUGCCCAGAUGACCUUUUCAGGGCUUAACACCCCAGCUGCUUGAGAGAACAGUGUUGCUGCUGGCAGAGAUGCAUUCCAGAGAUGCACUCCACUCUGGAACUUGCUCUCAGCCACAGGGAGCUGCACACACCACAGGGGCGAUGCACCUUUGCAGGGGUAGCUUCUGGCCCCAACCCUUGACUCAACGGGGACAACUCCAGAAGGUCAUUCCAGGUCCAGAGAUCCCCAUCGAACUGAAGGACCACUGGGUUGCAGACACAUUGCAGGUGUCUUUGCUGAAUAUUUCUCUACUCCACUGAAGUUUUGCAGUCCUUAAUGAUCUGCUCAUGUCCUCCAGUUCCAGGGACCCUUUAACCACAUCCCCUCUGCAGCCUUCCAGAUUGCAGAGGCAGGUCCUUUAACCAUGCCCAAACUGUUCUGUAGUCAUGAGUCAUUGCCUUGGGCCUCUUAGCUACUCCCCAUGUCAGAUCAACAAUAAUAGAUGUAAAGACCCCUAAACAUAGCUCUGAUACCAUGUCCCCUUGGCCCUCCAAUUCUAGGGCCCAGUCCUGCUAAUGAUACCCACACAUCAUCCCUCUAAUAACUGGUCUGAGACAACCUAGCCAUACUCCGUCCAUUGUUUUUCAGGACAAGGAUCUGCCCUUUAGCCACACCCUUUUAAAAUCUUCCUCCCUCAGAGCCCAAGUUGCCCAGACUUUUGAAUAAACUCCACAUGCCCUGGCUCUGAUUCUCUGUCUUGGGCCAAUAACUAUUCACUGGAGAGGGCCUUCCUAGGCUCCAGCAAAUUUGUUUGCCCAAUUAGAGUUUGCAAGAUCCAUAAAAUGCUUAUCAGGCUUGGAAAAUCAGAAGAAGCAUGAAGUGUUUUGGACACCUCAUUCAAGGAGAGGAUGAAAAAAGAAAGAGUUACUGGCUCCAAGGCCUCUCCCCACUUGCCUCCCCCAGGCAUGAAGUUAGCUGUCUUAAUCUGUUUUCUGCUGUUAUAACAGAAUGUCACAGACUGAGUGAUUUAUAAUGUACAAAAAUUUAUUUGGCUCAUGGUUCUAGAGGAUGGGAAGUCCAAGAGCAUGGUGCCAGCAUCUGGUGGGGGCCUUUAUGCUGCAUCAUCCCAUGGUGAAGACAGUAGAGCAAGUGAAUAUGUGAGACAGAAAAAGGGGGCUGGAAUUACCCUUUUUAUCAGGAACCCACUCCAGUAUAACUAAUCCACUCCUGUGAUAUUGGCAUUAAUCUGUUCGUGAGGGCUCAGCCCUCAUAACCUAAUCAUCUGUUAAAGGUCCCACCCAUAAAUCUCAUCAUAAUGGCAAUUGAAUUUCAACAUGAAUUUUGGAGGAGACAUUCACACCAUAGCAUCAAUUAUCCAGUGGCUCCUCAGAGUCAGGUCUGAUGAGGGAAAAGGAUGUGCAUGUCUGGGAGUGUGGGCCACCACCCUUUGCCAGAACUACCCCUAUAACCCCAACUUCUGAUCAGAAUUGGAGGCCACUGAGGGAAAAGUAUAUGCAGGUAUAUAAUCUCUAGGGUUUUGAAGAGGGAAGGGGUAGUCCCUCCCCAUUCCAGACAAUCCCAAUAUUCCUCCUACCAUUGGGAAAGAAAAAAAGCAAACAAGAAAACCAGCUCUUUUGAAAAAAGGAGUGGAAAGAAAAAAAAUGAUGCAAAAUUAUUGUUUUUUACUGAAAUCCCCCAUAACCUGUAGCGACCUCAGACAUGGCCCAGAGAAAGGACUGCCCACCCUAGCCCAGCACAGGGAGAGGGGCAAAGAUGUCAUCUUUCCAGCCCUGGAAGGGGCUUCCCCAGGCUAUGCUCACUCCCCUCCUUUGUUUCUAGGAAGGGUCACUAACAGGACCUUUCCACUCCAUCCCAGAAGGAAACGGAAUUGAAAUGUACUGGAGUUUCUCUCAGAAGAAAGAGAGGUGCAAAUUCUCCACUCCAGGACUAUGGCUUUGGUGCCUAAGAAGGAGGAGUUCAGUUUUUGUGUAUGAGCUUAUUUCCAACAUGAGAUUGGUGUUCAAAUGCCUGCAGCAUCCAAACAAGUCCUAUUAAUGAGGGGACCAGAUUGGAUGGGGUGGGGGGUACUUUAGAGAACUGGGGGACUAAAACUAAAGUCUAAUUGCUACCUGCAUCCUUCCUGGCCUUACCAUCUAAGCCUCACUCCAAGAAAUCUUGAGCUCCACCUCUUUUUGGCCUUUUAAUUUAGCUAUCUAAAUGUCCUACCCAUUUCUUCAAACCAUGAUCUUGAGUUCAGAACCCACCAUCAUUCUGCCUCACUUUUAGUUUUAGAAUUUCUUUUUAUAUUGAUUUUUGCUGAGUUUUCUGAAAAAUUGGUAGUGGACUGCCAGGCAUGGUAGCUCAUAUGUGUAAUCCCAGCAUUUUGGGAGGCC